RNAcentral lists this ribosomal RNA (369 nucleotides) under uncultured bacterium. Its description in RNAcentral is "bacterial SSU rRNA". It matches the Rfam family "Bacterial small subunit ribosomal RNA", at positions 527 to 896 of the family's 1533-position model. The record is from RNAcentral.
GUAGGCAGCAAGCGUUGUUCGGAGUUACUGGGCGUAAAGGGUGUGUAGGCGGCCUGUUAAGUUCCGUGUGAAAUCUCCCGGCUCAACCGGGAGGGUGCGCGGAAAACUGGCGGGCUAGAGUACGGGAUGGGAGAGUAGAAUUCCUGGUGUAGCGGUGAAAUGCGUAGAUAUCAGGAGGAAUACCGGUGGUGUAGACGGCUCUCUGGACCGUAACUGACGCUGAGACACGAAAGCGUGGGUAGCAAACAGGAUUAGAUACCCUGGUAGUCCACGCCCUAAACGAUGCAUAUUUGGUGUAGGCAGUUCAUUCUGUCUGUGCCGGAGCUAACGCGUUAAAUAUGCCGCCUGGGGAGUACAGUCGCAAGGCUG